Molecule: long non-coding RNA, 3494 nt
Filed under: Helianthus annuus (common sunflower)
Lineage: Eukaryota; Viridiplantae; Streptophyta; Magnoliopsida; Asterales; Asteraceae
Description: hypothetical non coding rna
Source: RNAcentral
GCCGUCUCUUCUCACCGAUUCGUCAGCUGAUGAUGGUGGUGUUUAGGGUUGGAGAAACGACGAUGGUGGUGAGCAGUGGCUGCUCCCAUGCCACAAUCAGGGGCCUAAAAGUCGUCUGCAGCAGAUGCCGCUGACAUGGAUCUAACGGUGCUAUAUGCAUUUGUCUACCUCCCGAAAGCCUUCAAGCAACUACCGUUUAAACAACUCCCAGAGUAUCAUAAUUGUGGUUUCUUUUUAAAUUAAGUUUUCCAACCCAUCAAGUUCACGGGUUCAGUAAUGAUGCAAGUUAUGUUAUCUCGGGUAGUGAUGAUAGUAUGAUACCAAUCUUCGGACUUUGGAUGGCUAAAGCAUCCGAGCAACUGGGUGUUACUCUACCACGAGUAUAUGGAGGCUGUGAAGAAUCGCUACAAGCACCUUCAUGAGGUCAAACGUAAAUUCAGGUACAUUUUUUGACUGGUGGUAAGCUUAACAAUGAGUUUUAUAUGGAUGCGCAAGGACAAGAACAAACCGCUUAGGUGGAAUACAUCGAGAGAAAACACAAUGACCAGAGCCAAAAAGGCAACAUCACUUAUAGCUUAUAGCUGACAUGAUUCAUGUGUCUUCCCAAUAGAAAUCAACCUGCAUUUUGAUUGAAGUUAGGGACCAACAAAAUAAUUGGUGAUCUGCUAUGGUUAAUUACUUUGCAGAGUCAUGAUGUGUUGUCAUAUGAAGCUAAGAGAAAAUUCAUAGCUGAUAUGGGUCGACUUUCAACAAUUCAAGAAUCGAGCACCGCGAUACGAAUCAAAUAUGAAGUUAUAUUACAUAACAGGGAGUAAGUAUGAUGAAGUUGUUAUUUCAACCUAUUUACUCAAAUGGGUCGAUUUUAAAUUUGUUUUUAAAGGUGUGUAGGGAUGUUUACGGUUCGAUUUAAAACAGUUAAACCAGUCGUCGAUCCAGUUUCAUGGUUGGUUUUAUUUUUAGUUUUCGGUCGGUCGGUUUCAAACCAUAUUGAACGGUUUGGUUUGCGGUUUACACCGGAAACAGACCGUAUAAAACCGGACAAGACCAUUAGAUAUAGAUAUACUAUUAUUUUAAAAAUAUUUCAUACAUAUGGAGAUGUAAUACGAAAUCAAACCAUAUUGAGACAAAGACAGUAAAAUACUAAGUGCCUAAUUUUUAAAUGUGUCAUUUGGGUUUGUCAUGGAUCAGUAAAAUGAUUUAAAAUUCGAAUCGGCUAAAUCGAUGAAAAUCAAAAACACCGGCCCCUAAUAUUUAUCAAUUGUUGUAUCAGUAUAUCCUAAUCUUUCCUAAAUGUUUGUUUCCCCUGUAACUGAUCUUUGAUUUAUUGGCUUCUAGCAUGUGUAUGUUUGUUGAAGACACUUAAAAGUGUUACCAUAUUCGUCACAAGAGAUCUAUCCGCUGACCUAGGAGGUGGCCAAGGAUGUAUUUACUCUAUAAAUUCUAUCGUUCUAACAAAAAUGAUGAUGAAUGUUAAAUGUGAAACCAAACCGGUUGUAUAUUUAUUAUGGAGACUUACAUUGAUCCUGAUUUUCGACAUAAACCGUCAUACUAGAUCGGAACCAAACUGUAAGUAUUGGUGGUUUUCCCUUUCAAUGGUUCGGUUUCGGGUUUUGUUGAUAAAAAAACCAUUAAUAAUAGUUUGGCUUGCGGUUUGACCUAAAACCAUCAAAACCGCACUGUGAACACCCCUAAGGGUGUGCAUGGAGUGGUUUUGGCUCCUUUGGGUAUCUCAAAACCAACCAAAAACCGAAUUCUUUAUUUCGGUUUUUUAAAUUGUCCGGGUGACGGGUUUUGGAGUUGUAUCGAAGGUAAGGGUAUGUGAUUAAAGUUAUUGGUUCUUAGAGUUGUAUCGAAAGGUAUGUGCUUAAAGUUUUGAUCUUUCAUAGUUUUAAUUAAUGUCCAGGUGACGAGUUUUAGAGAUGUAUAGAAGGGCAGGGGUUGACGGGAAGAGAUGAUUUAAGAAUGAAGACGAGGGGAACAUGAAGCUUUGAGUUUGGUUCCUUCAAGGCUUGCUGGAAGUAGAUUUCAACUUUUUAGUGGAAGUCAAUGGCUCAAACUAAUGAAUCAAGUCAACAAAGCAUCCAUAUGCAAAAAUGAGUUUUUCUUACUUUAUAUAGUUGUUGAAUCAACAUAUAUGUGAAAUGUGUGACGAAUGUGUUCAAGUGAGUAUUGGUGUUGUAGAUAAUAAAUCUUAUGUAUUAUGUUGAGUUGUACCAAUGAGUGGGGAUGCAUUCUAACAAUUGAGUUGACUCCAAUAUAUUAAAACAACUUUUGUACUUGCAUUUGUAUUAUGGUGUUAAGCGGUUCAAAUUUACUAUAGGUGAACUUUAAUCAUAUAAUGUGAAUAAACUUUGUUGAUGUUAAUUGUUAAUGUAACAUUAAUUGUUUAGGUAUGCAGUAACUUAUUUGUUUGUUAAUUAUUUCAGACAUUCUCUCUUUCAAUUUGUAAGUCAUGGAUUUGACAUUAUUUCUCCCUAAAAUCACUGUUUUGAUUGAACAGGAACACAUAAUUAGUUUUAUUCAUGUAAAAAGAAAAAUUACAAGAACAAUGCUUAAUAUGUUGGAACAAAAAGAAAGUUGGUGAUACAAUCUUAGAUAAACUCACUCCUUUAUUUCUUUUUUUUAAGUUGUAGGUGGUAGGCUCAGCAAUUGGAGUGCAUUAAAGAAGAAUUUUGAUAAUUGUUCAAUUUGUGCAUUUAGAUACUAAUCCAAAUUUACCUAUUUAAUCUUCAUGUAAAAAUUAUAUUUUUAAUUUACAAGCGUUAAAAAGGAAUUAGCUGAACACAUGCAAUGCUAUUCUUAGUAAGAUACAUCAUCGAUUAAUAUCAUAUUCUUGGUGAUAACAAGAGGUGGGAUGUUACAUUGGUAAAGGCAACACUUUGGUAAAGAAAUUUGUCAUUUAAAAAAAAACAAGAGGGCCCAAGUUCGAAUCUAAUCCAAACGGGUUUAGUCGUAGUGGGCUUUUGGGCGACCUUUUGAUAGUGGGCUUGGGCUACUCAUUUAUAUAUAAUUUUUUAUUUCAGUAUAUUUUUAUACGUUUAUGUAAUGUGUUACUUUGUUUGUAUUUACAUUAUUUAUACACUUUGUGAUUGUGCAGAUUAAAUUUCCGACCCGCGAAGUUCGCGGGUGAUAACCUAGUUGUUUAAUAAAUGCAAUUUACAAAUGACGAAAAUACCCUUAUAUCAAUUAUUUUGAAAGGAAGUUAUAGUAUUAUAAUUACAAUCUUGGCAUCGUUUAAAAAUCUCUAGAUAAUGUAAUCCAAUGGCCUAGAUUAGUUCACACAGUUCACUCUUAAACUAGUGGCCACUAUAGAACCCUACCCUACGUGUGUGUAUAUAUAUAUAUAGGAGAAGGAUCUAUUAGGAACCACUCUUUAUUGCGAGAAUCGCGAGAACCAAGUGUGAACACAACCAAAAAAUACCUAAAAAAAUAAAAAUAAAAAAACACUAAAAAAUUUUUACUACUUUUUAUAAAAAAAAUCGUUAUGUUUCGUC